UGGCGGACGGGUGAGUAAUGUCUGGGAAACUGCCUGAUGGAGGGGGAUAACCACUGGAAACGGUAGCUAAUACCGCAUAACGUCGCAAGACCAAAGAGGGGACCUUCGGGCCUCUUGCCAUCGGAUGUGCCCAGAUGGGAUUAGCUAGUAGGUGGGGUAACGGCUCACCUAGGCGACGAUCCCUAGCUGGUCUGAGAGGAUGACCAGCCACACUGGAACUGAGACACGGUCCAG
This 234-nucleotide ribosomal RNA is filed under the name uncultured bacterium. RNAcentral describes it as "partial 16S ribosomal RNA". It matches the Rfam family "Bacterial small subunit ribosomal RNA", at positions 96 to 334 of the family's 1533-position model. The record is from RNAcentral.